Non-coding RNA from Malus domestica (apple), 642 nucleotides. Lineage: Eukaryota; Viridiplantae; Streptophyta; Magnoliopsida; Rosales; Rosaceae. The record is from RefSeq and is a predicted model, not a curated record.
UCCAACCUCCAUUAGGGAUGAAAAAGCUACAAACGACAUUGUUCACCUUUUUCCAAAAGAAAAUUAAUCUGAAAAUCCAACUGAGGUGUAAAUCCCUGCGUUUACUUAACGUUUAUAAUUCAUCCUUCCCCACCCUGUAUCCCAAAUUACAAUUGAAGACUUCAACGCAUAACCCGUUAUUCUGUAAAGCAUCGCCUCCAAUCAUCAUUCAUUUGGAGGUACACCAUUCUAACACUAUCUUUUAUUUGCUUUGAUAAAAUUAUUUCUCAGCUGUUUAACUUAUAAACAAUGACAAUAUUAUUUCUUCCCUUGGUUAAAUAUUAAAUACCUAAACACUUUCCUGUGUGUUAACUGUCAAUUUACGCACUUAACAACCCUUCACAAGCUCAUAUUUGAAUCAACAUUUUUUCACACCGUACAACACAACUUUAACCCUUGAAUUACAAAUACAUUGUUUCUUACAAUUGCCCCAUUACUAGAACAAAGCUGUACCAUUUGUUAUUUCUAUAUGUUUAUUCCUUCUUGUAAAUACGAUGAAGACACAUACAUGUUUGUAAAACUUUCUGCAAAUUUUAUACAUUAACUUUUAAAACCCGCGGCAACGUGCGGGCACAAUUGCUAGUAUAAAACUAUUUGUCAAAA